Molecule: ribosomal RNA, 398 nt
Filed under: uncultured bacterium
Lineage: Bacteria
Description: bacterial SSU rRNA
Rfam family: Bacterial small subunit ribosomal RNA
Source: RNAcentral
AAUUGUGCGCAAUGGACGAAAGUCUGACGCCGCGACACCGCGUGCAGGAUGAAGGUCUUAGGAUCGUAAACUGCUUUUAUAGAGGAGCAAGUUCUGAGAGUACUCUAUGAAUAAGUGCCUGCUAACCACGUGCCAGAAGCAUCGGUAAUGCGUGGGGCACGAGCGUUAUCCGGAAUUACUGGGCGUAAAGAGAGCGUAGGCGUCCCAAAAAGUUUCGUGUUAAAUCUUUCGGCUCAACCGAAAAAUCGCAUGGAAAACUUUUGGGAUUGAGUUAGGUAGGGAAAGGGGGAAUUCCUGGUGGAGCGGUUAAAUGCGUUGAUAUCAGGAGGAACACCAAUGGCGAAGGCACCCUUUUGGACCUAUACUGACGCUGAGGCUCGAAAGCGUGGGGAGCAAAA